Molecule: ribosomal RNA, 495 nt
Filed under: uncultured bacterium
Lineage: Bacteria
Description: bacterial SSU rRNA
Rfam family: Bacterial small subunit ribosomal RNA
Source: RNAcentral
GAUGAGCAUGCGUCCCAUUAGCUAGUUGGUAAGGUAACGGCUUACCAAGGCAACGAUGGGUAGGGGUCCUGAGAGGGAGAUCCCCCACACUGGUACUGAGACACGGACCAGACUCCUACGGGAGGCAGCAGUGAGGAAUAUUGGUCAAUGGGCGCAAGCCUGAACCAGCCAUGCCGCGUGCAGGAUGACGGUCCUAUGGAUUGUAAACUGCUUUUGCACAGGAAGAAACACUGAUUCGUGAAUCAGCUUGACGGUACUGUGAGAAUAAGGAUCGGCUAACUCCGUGCCAGCAGCCGCGGUAAUACGGAGGAUCCAAGCGUUAUCCGGAAUCAUUGGGUUUAAAGGGUCCGUAGGCGGUUUGGUAAGUCAGUGGUGAAAGCCCAUCGCUCAACGGUGGAACGGCCAUUGAUACUGCUAAACUUGAAUUAUUAGGAAGUAACUAGAAUAUGUAGUGUAGCGGUGAAAUGCUUAGAGAUUACAUGGAAUACCNAUUGC